Long non-coding RNA from Brassica oleracea var. oleracea, 801 nucleotides. RefSeq lists it as uncharacterized. The record is from RefSeq and is a predicted model, not a curated record. The transcript has 4 exons. Lineage: Eukaryota; Viridiplantae; Streptophyta; Magnoliopsida; Brassicales; Brassicaceae.
GUGAUGAUAUUAUUUGGUUUAACGUUUGGCAACUUCACCGGAGACCAGCUCGUCCCCGCCGUCCUCUAGCAGAGACCAAGAUGCAGGAAGAAACCCGAUGACUCUCCACCAUCCACGAGGUGAACCCACGGCAGAGCUUCUCUUCCUCUGAAGCGGAGACGGAGAAGACAGAGGAGGAGGAUGACGGCGGUGAAGAUAUAGAAGCGACGGUGGUUUGUUCGUGCGACAUUCACCACCACCACCAAGUUAAAUCUCCUGGUACACUUCAAUUAAGCCACUGGGAGAGAGUUUUGGUGACGAUUAAGGAGGCGGAGGAAAAGACUAUGGGAGGUAUCUUACUUCCAUCCACGGCUCAAGGAGGUGAAGUCGUUGCUGUGGGUGAAAGAAGAACUAUUGGGAAGAACAAAAUCGUGAAGGUGGAUGCAUCAACAAUAGCUAUAAGUUGCUGGAGAGGGAAGAAUAGUUUCGGUAUAAUGGUCACUUCUGCUGAUUGCCAGGAGCUGCUGGAGAGACUUGCGGAGAGAACACCAAAAACCGAAGGUGGCUCUGUUAAUGGAAGCAAUGGCCGGGUGGUCUUGAAGCUAUGGAGACUGUGCGGUCUAAGGUUCAUGGAAGAUGUGCUUCUUGGUAAAAGAAGUGACCAUACGGUCAGAACAGUAGUUGUAGUCUUGUUGAUGACCCAUCCCUAUAAUGAUGUAAUCUAACAAUACUAAAAACACAAUAUUCUCAACAAAGAGGGAUGCCACGUCCUCAAAAAAAAAUCAGCCAAUGAGUAAGUUUGUUUUCACCACGUCACCAUUG